UACAGCAAAUUUCAUGUCACGUUGUUAA
RNAcentral lists this small RNA (28 nucleotides) under Bombyx mori (domestic silkworm). RNAcentral's name for it is "ovarian small RNA-20277". The record is from RNAcentral. Lineage: Eukaryota; Metazoa; Arthropoda; Insecta; Lepidoptera; Bombycidae.